This 75-nucleotide transfer RNA is filed under the name Salmonella enterica subsp. enterica. Its description in RNAcentral is "tRNA-OTHER". It matches the Rfam family "tRNA". From Rfam's summary of the family: Transfer RNA (tRNA) molecules are approximately 80 nucleotides in length. Their secondary structure includes four short double-helical elements and three loops (D, anti-codon, and T loops). Lineage: Bacteria; Pseudomonadati; Pseudomonadota; Gammaproteobacteria; Enterobacterales; Enterobacteriaceae. The record is from RNAcentral.
GGGUCGUUAGCUCAGUUGGUAGAGCAGCGAUCUUUAAUCAAUUGGUCGCAGGUUCGAAUCCUGCACGACUCACCA